This is a non-coding RNA of Acanthosepion pharaonis, 98 nucleotides long. Lineage: Eukaryota; Metazoa; Mollusca; Cephalopoda; Sepiida; Sepiidae. The record is from the annotation of a GenBank genome assembly.
CGUUGAAACACCAGUUCUCAUACGAUCACCAAAGUUAAGCAACGUCGAGCCUGGUCAAUACCUAGAUGUGUGACAGCCUGGGAAUACCAGUUACUGUA